AGGCUUUAUGGUAUUGGGUAAAAAUACAGCUAAAUGCAUGUAAAUGUAUGGAAUUAAGAACUGAACAAACAGGACAAGGAGGCAUCCAUCCAUUCAUAUAUCACAGCGGCAUUUAUGCGCAUAGUAGCAUUUGUGUGUUACAGUAGCAUUCAUGUGUUAGAGUGGGAUUACAGUCGCAUUCAUGUGUUAGAGUGAGAUUAUAGUCACAAUCAUGUGUUAGAGUGAGAUUAUAGUCACAAUCAUGUGUUACAGGAGGAUUAUAGGUGCAUUCAUGUGUUAGAGUGAGAUUACAGUCGCAUUCAUGUGUUACAGUAGCAUUCACGUGUUACAGUAGGAUUAUAGUCGCAUUCAUGUGUUAGAGUGAGAUUAAAGUCACAAUCAUAUGUUACAGGAGGAUUAUAGUCUCAUUCAUGUGUUAAAGUGAGAUUAUAGUCGCAAUCAUGUGUUAGAGUGGGAUUAUAGUCCCAUUUACAGUACCAGUCAAAAGUUUGGACACACCUUGAAUUGUUUUCUUUACUUUUAUUAUUUUCUACAUUGUAGAUUAAUACUGAAGACAUUUUAACUACGAAAGAACACAUAUGGAAUGAUGUUCUAAACAAAAAAAAGUGUUAUCUACCAUGUAGAAAAUAAUAAAAGUAAAGAAAAAACUUCUCAAAAAAUGAGAAAGUGUGUCCAAACUUUUGACUGGUACUGUAUGUGUUACAGUGGGAUUACAGUUGCAUUCAUGUAUUAAAGUGGAAUUUUAGUCGCAUUCAUGUAUUACAGGUGGAUUAUAGGUGCAAUCAUGUGUUAGAGUGAGAUUAAAGUCACAAUCAUAUGUUACAGGAGGAUUAUAGUCGCAUUCAUGUGUUAGAGUAGGAUUAUUGUCGCAUUUAUGUGUUAGAGUGAGAUUAUAGUCACA
Clupea harengus (Atlantic herring) is the source of this 901-nucleotide long non-coding RNA. The record is from Ensembl. Lineage: Eukaryota; Metazoa; Chordata; Actinopteri; Clupeiformes; Clupeidae.